CACUCCUGCGGGAGGCAGCAGUGGGGAAUAUUGGACAAUGGGCGCAAGCCUGAUCCAGCCAUGCCGCGUGAGUGAUGAAGGCCCUAGGGUUGUAAAGCUCUUUCACCGGUGAAGAUAAUGACGGUAACCGGAGAAGAAGCCCCGGCUAACUUCGUGCCAGCAGCCGCGGUAAUACGAAGGGGGCUAGCGUUGUUCGGAUUUACUGGGCGUAAAGCGCACGUAGGCGGACUAUUAAGUCAGGGGUGAAAUCCCGGGGCUCAACCCCGGAACUGCCUUUGAUACUGGUAGUCUUGAGUUCGAGAGAGGUGAGUGGAAUUCCGAGUGUAGAGGUGAAAUUCGUAGAUAUUCGGAGGAACACCAGUGGCGAAGGCGGCUCACUGGCUCGAUACUGACGCUGAGGUGCGAAAGCGUGGGGAGCAAACAGGAUUAGAAACCCCUGUAGUCCCAUG
Molecule: ribosomal RNA, 449 nt
Filed under: uncultured organism
Description: partial 16S ribosomal RNA
Rfam family: Bacterial small subunit ribosomal RNA
Source: RNAcentral